AGCUCCGUGCCGUGAGGUGUCGGGUUAAGUCCCAUAACGAGCGCAACCCCUACCGCUAGUUGCCAGCGGGUCAUGCCGGGGACUCUAGCGGAACUGCCAGCGUAAGCUGCGAGGAAGGUGGGGAUGACGUCAAAUCAGCACGGCCCUUACGUCCAGGGCUACACACGUGUUACAAUGGCCAGUACAGAGGGCAGCCACCCCGCGAGGGGGCGCUAAUCCUAAAAGCUGGUCCCAGUUCGGAUCGGAGUCUGCAACCCGACUCCGUGAAGCUGGAUUCGCUAGUAAUCGCGCAUCAGCCACGGCGCGGUGAAUACGUUCCCGGGCCUU
Molecule: ribosomal RNA, 327 nt
Filed under: uncultured Rikenellaceae bacterium
Lineage: Bacteria; Pseudomonadati; Bacteroidota; Bacteroidia; Bacteroidales; Rikenellaceae
Description: bacterial SSU rRNA
Rfam family: Bacterial small subunit ribosomal RNA
Source: RNAcentral